UCAACUCUGUUACUUGUUGUGUUUCCUAAGUGCAUCACCUUAUCUAUCCAUGCCUUGACAAAUUUUUCUUUAUGUGGACGUAACCAUGUAUCCAUCACAUAAUCAACAAAUAUAGGCCAUGGAGAACAGACAACUCGAAGAGCAUUGACACGAUCUUCAAAGGCCUCAACAAUAUCACAAUCCACAACAGAUCCCCACACUUCCAUUACUUGAUCCCAUGCCUCUCUUGGAUGCACCAACAUUUUACAUUUUGCUUUCACAUUUUUAUCAAUGUGAAACCGACAUAGCAAAUUAUAAGCUUCAGGAAACACCAUUCUAAUUGCAUUCAUUAAGGCAACAUCUCUAUCACAUACCACCACCCUAGGGCAUGAAUCAACUCUUAAAAACAACCCUUUAAGUCUGUCAAGGGCCCAAAAAAAAUUAUUUUCCUUUUCUGCUGCUAGUAAACAAAAUGCAAC
RNAcentral lists this long non-coding RNA (458 nucleotides) under Phaseolus vulgaris (common bean). RNAcentral describes it as "long non-coding RNA (PVUL_LNC002714)". Lineage: Eukaryota; Viridiplantae; Streptophyta; Magnoliopsida; Fabales; Fabaceae. The record is from RNAcentral.